Molecule: long non-coding RNA, 1322 nt
Filed under: Sus scrofa (pig)
Lineage: Eukaryota; Metazoa; Chordata; Mammalia; Artiodactyla; Suidae
Description: lncRNA (ENSSSCG00070014298.1)
Source: RNAcentral
GUGUGUACGUGAUCCGAGUCCCUGGCAAUCCCCGGACUGGGAACCUGUGAGGACACGUCCUCAGACACGGACCUUCCGCGUCUCACGGCCCAGCACCUCCACUCGCCUCCCUCACCUUUCCCAGUGGUCCUGACACUAAGAAUCCCAAGCGACUCCAGGCCAGGUGCUUCUGUGGAUUCAGAACCAGCUGGCGGAAGAUUUUCUUGACCCACUCUGGAGCCGCUUCCUGUUGCAGAUGGCAAUAAUCCAUCAUCCUGCGGAGGCUGAGCGGCCACGAUCUGAAACUUGUGGACUCUUCAAGGCCUGGGUCUGGCCCUGGUUUACACAGGAGACACCAGGCAAACUCUCCAGGUAGUUCCCCACGCUUCUCCGACUUGGCUGUAGCUGAAGAGCUGGCACACCUUCUUUCUUCACCACAGAGCUGGGGUGCUGGCAGCAAGGAAAUGCCACAGCAGUUUCUCCAAAGCAGUGUCUCCCCCAGACCAGUCCUCUCUGUCAGCUUCUCCGUCCUCCUCAAGUCAAGAAACCUGACUGAUACAGAAAGAGGAGGAAUCAUCUCCCAGGUGGAGAAAUGAUUAGGUAUUUAUUUAUUUAUUUAUUUAUUGUCUUUUCAGGGCCGUUCCAGCAACAUAUGGAGGUUCCCAGUCUAGGGGUUGAAACAGAGCUGUAACUGAGAAGGAGGGAACCGAACUGCAUCUGUGACCUACACUACAACUCACGGCAACGCAGGAUCCUGAACCCACUGAGCAAAGCCAGGGAUUGAUCCCGAAUCCUCAUGGAUACUAGUCAGGUUGGUUAACUGCUAAGUCACAAGGGGAACUCCUGAUGAAGCAUUUAAUCUGAGACAUGCCUAGUCGUAAAUGUCUCCUUAACAUAACUCACAGCAAGACUCUCAAUUCGUUUAUUCAACAAGUAUUUCUGAAGCACCUUGGUUUCCCUGACAUGUCCCAAGGUAACAAUUAUUAUCCACAUUUUUUUCGGUAAGGAAAUUCAAGGACACGAAACCUGCCUAAUGUCCCACAUUGGAAUGUCAGAGCUAGGUCUUGACCCCACGUGCUGUCCCAUUGGGUUUCACUGGCUGCUCUGUGAGGUUGCUUAUUGGAUCACAUUUCAGAAAUGAGCUUCUGGAGCUGCAGGGCACAGGCUGUGCCAUCCCCAGACAGUAGACUGCGACGAGGGAGGGGUAGGCAGUGGCCUCUCUGCUCCCUGGAGAUCCUUCAAGUGAUACCCAUGUGGCCCAGUGAGUUUGAUUCGCCCUGGAGUCCUUCAUGAACCUCACACAAUGCAUUGAUCCAGUAGGUGCUCAAUAGUAGUUUAUUAGG